GAGAAAGAAAUGCAAGAACUGCUAAUUCAUGUCUCCAUGUAUAAUAACAUGGCUUUCUUA
Molecule: transfer RNA, 60 nt
Filed under: Uropsilus sp. 4 FT-2015
Lineage: Eukaryota; Metazoa; Chordata; Mammalia; Eulipotyphla; Talpidae
Description: tRNA-Ser
Source: RNAcentral